GGAAGGUCUCUCGAAGGAUCUAAAACUGAUUUUUAUGGUAUGGUGUUAUGAGGAGGUUUGGAGAAGAGAUUAAAAAAAAGAAAGAAAGAAGGAAAGAAAGAAAGAAUAGUAUUGAGAAAAGGAAAAAAAAGAAAUAAUAGGAAAAGAGAGAAAGAAAUAAAGGAGGAGUUUUUACUGUCAUGAAGAUAAAGAGAGGUGCAAAGAAAAGAUGAACUUGUUUACUGAACGGAUUCCAACGUUGAGGACAUCGCUUGAGCCUAAGAGUCAUUAUUUUAUUUGCCUUUGCACAUGUCCACCAUUCUAUAUCUUCUCAUCCUUGAAAAC
Molecule: long non-coding RNA, 324 nt
Filed under: Setaria viridis
Lineage: Eukaryota; Viridiplantae; Streptophyta; Magnoliopsida; Poales; Poaceae
Description: long non-coding RNA (SVIR_LNC010758)
Source: RNAcentral